ACCAGUGUGGUGUAGUGUUUUGAGCACUGGACUAUGAUUCCGGAGAUCAGGGUUUAAAUCCCCACUGAGC
Molecule: non-coding RNA, 70 nt
Organism: Phrynosoma platyrhinos (Desert horned lizard)
Lineage: Eukaryota; Metazoa; Chordata; Lepidosauria; Squamata; Phrynosomatidae
Source: the annotation of a GenBank genome assembly